GUGGGGAAUCUUGCGCAAUGGGCGAAAGCCUGACGCAGCCAUGCCGCGUGAAUGAUGAAGGUCUUAGGAUUGUAAAAUUCUUUCACCGGGGACGAUAAUGACGGUACCCGGAGAAGAAGCCCCGGCUAACUUCGUGCCAGCAGCCGCGGUAAUACGAAGGGGGCUAGCGUUGCUCGGAAUUACUGGGCGUAAAGGGCGCGUAGGCGGACAGUUUAGUCAGAGGUGAAAGCCCAGGGCUCAACCUUGGAAUUGCAUUUGAUACUGGCUGUCUUGAGUACGGGAGAGGUGAGUGGAACUCCGAGUGUAGAGGUGAAAUUCGUAGAUAUUCGGAAGAACACCAGUGGCGAAGGCGACUCACUGGCCCGUUACUGACGCUGAGGCGCGAAAGCGUGGGGAGCAAACAGGAUUAGAAACCCUGGUAGUCC
Molecule: ribosomal RNA, 425 nt
Filed under: uncultured bacterium
Lineage: Bacteria
Description: partial 16S ribosomal RNA
Rfam family: Bacterial small subunit ribosomal RNA
Source: RNAcentral